This 23-nucleotide non-coding RNA is filed under the name Arabidopsis thaliana (thale cress). The record is from RNAcentral. Lineage: Eukaryota; Viridiplantae; Streptophyta; Magnoliopsida; Brassicales; Brassicaceae.
UACCACCACGCUUAUACGAUUGC